AUUGAACGCUGGCGGCAUGCCUUACACAUGCAAGUCGAACGGCAGCACGGGCGCAAUCCUGGUGGCGAGUGGCGAACGGGUGAGUAAUAUAUCGGAACGUGCCCAGUCGUGGGGGAUAACGCAGCGAAAGCUGUGCUAAUACCGCAUACGAUCUACGGUUGAAAGCGGGGGAUCGCAAGACCUCGCGCGGAUGGAACGACCGAUAUCAGAUUAGCUAGUUGGAGAGGUAAAGGCUCACCAAGGCGACGAUCUGGAGCUGGUAUGAGAGGACGACCAGCCACACUGGAACUGAGACACGGUCCAGACUCCUACGGGAGGCAGCAGUGGGGAAUUUUGGACAAUGGGCGAAAGCCUGAUCCAGCAAUGCCGCGUGCAGGAUGAAGGCCUUCGGGUUGUAAACUGCUUUUGUACGGAACGAAACGGUGAGCUCUAAUACAGUUUGCUAAUGACGGUACCGUAAGAAUAAGCACCGGCUAACUACGUGCCAGCCGCCGCCGUAA
RNAcentral lists this ribosomal RNA (500 nucleotides) under uncultured bacterium. Its description in RNAcentral is "partial 16S ribosomal RNA". It matches the Rfam family "Bacterial small subunit ribosomal RNA", at positions 30 to 523 of the family's 1533-position model. The record is from RNAcentral.